This 103-nucleotide small nuclear RNA is filed under the name Amborella trichopoda. Lineage: Eukaryota; Viridiplantae; Streptophyta; Magnoliopsida; Amborellales; Amborellaceae. The record is from RNAcentral.
GUUUCUUCAAAGACAUCCGGUAAAAUUGAAAGAAUGUAAAGAAGAUUGGCAUGGCCCCCACACAAGGAUGACACAUACGAAUUGAGAAACAGUCCAAUUUUUG